UCCUUGGCGGUCCAGUGGCUAAGACUCCACACUUCCAGUGCAGGGGGCCCAGGUUCGAUCCCUGGUCAGGGAA
Molecule: transfer RNA, 73 nt
Filed under: Bos taurus (domestic cattle)
Lineage: Eukaryota; Metazoa; Chordata; Mammalia; Artiodactyla; Bovidae
Also listed under: 2 other names
Rfam family: tRNA
About the family: Transfer RNA (tRNA) molecules are approximately 80 nucleotides in length.
Source: Rfam by way of RNAcentral